AGAGUUUGAUCCUGGCUCAGAACGAACGCUGGCGGCGUGCCUAACACAUGCAAGUCGAACGGGGAUAAGUAGCUUGCUAUUUAUUCUAGUGGCGCACGGGUGAGUAACGCGUAGAUAAUCUGCCUUAGACUCUGGGAUAACAUCUCGAAAGGGGUGCUAAUACCGGAUAAGCCCACGGGGACGUGAGUUCUUGCGGGAAAAGGGGGCCUCUGCAUAUGCUCUUGAUCUAAGAUGAGUCUGCGUACCAUUAGCUUGUUGGUAGGGUAAUGGCCUACCAAGGCGACGAUGGUUAGCUGGUCUGAGAGGAUGAUCAUCCACACUGGGACUGAGACACGGCCCAGACUCCUACGGGAGGCAGCAGUGGGGAAUUUUGCGCAAUGGGGGAAACCCUGACGCAGCAACGCCGCGUGAGUGAUGAAGGCUUUCGGGUCGUAAAGCUCUGUCUAGAGGGAAGAAGUGAUAUUCGGUUAAUACCCGGGUUUCUUGACGGUACCUCUGAAGGAAGCACCGGCUAACUCCGUGCCAGCAGCCGCGGUAAUA
This 540-nucleotide ribosomal RNA is filed under the name uncultured bacterium. RNAcentral's name for it is "bacterial SSU rRNA". It matches the Rfam family "Bacterial small subunit ribosomal RNA", at positions 8 to 525 of the family's 1533-position model. The record is from RNAcentral.